GGGGCCAUAGCUCAGCUGGGAGAGCGCUUGCAUGGCAUGCAAGAGGUCGUCGGUUCGAUCCCGAUUGGCUCCA
This 73-nucleotide transfer RNA is filed under the name Geothrix sp. It matches the Rfam family "tRNA". From Rfam's summary of the family: Transfer RNA (tRNA) molecules are approximately 80 nucleotides in length. Their secondary structure includes four short double-helical elements and three loops (D, anti-codon, and T loops). The record is from Rfam by way of RNAcentral. RNAcentral also lists the same sequence under 2 other names. Lineage: Bacteria; Pseudomonadati; Acidobacteriota; Holophagae; Holophagales; Holophagaceae.